GUGCCACCUGUGCUAAUAUCUUGUCUUCCUUACUUCCUGUCAAUCAUCUGGUAGCAUCUCUUCAGCCAGCUGAUGCCAGGCAUCUUCCUGCGAGGAGUAGCUCCGUUCAGGUAGGGUCUGAUGACCUGCAUGUCAAUCCUCUGCUCCUGGUCACCAAUGAUCACAGUUCGCCACAGACGACCAGAUGAAUCUCUCUCCUCUUCACCUUCACCUGGAAGACGCUUGGCAGUGGCCACAGGAGUGUCGUCUGGGUACAAGCUCGUUUCCAUUGUUGAUGAACUCCAGCGAGUCCGUCUCGUCAGGAGUCUCAAUGUCAUCUACGUUGAUGUCCAGGUCGUCGGGUGUUUCCAGGAAGUCGUCAGAGAGCACAGAGCCCUCACUCUGAUCCAGGGAAAGGUUCAUGUCAGGCGCGACCAGAGUACGGCGCUUACGCUGGGCGAUGGACUCGCCAACGUUCAGAGUGGUGGGAGGAUCUGGAACAGCAAGAGAGCAAUGUUUAGAUAUACAAUAUAUACAAUCAAAAUGAAUUAAUUCUGUUUGUCAUAUUUAUUCCACUUACUGGUUCUGUUGUCAGUGAGGCCACAUAGGGAAUCUCCAUCCUCUGGAAGUGGCCUGCAGAGACAGAGAGGAACAAAAUGAUGACAUUGUUUUCCUGCAACAAUUUAAUGAUUGUUUUGGUGUUUUUAUAAUUGUUAGUUAUGCACAUAAACAUGAAAAUAAAUUGCAAUGAUAAAAAAAAUACUGAAAUAAACUCUGAAGUGUACAGAA
Long non-coding RNA from Notolabrus celidotus (New Zealand spotty), 768 nucleotides. RefSeq lists it as uncharacterized. The transcript is spliced from 3 exons. Lineage: Eukaryota; Metazoa; Chordata; Actinopteri; Labriformes; Labridae. The record is from RefSeq and is a predicted model, not a curated record.